UACGUAGGGGGCUAGCGUUGUCCGGAUUCACUGGGUUUAAAGGGUGCGUAGGCGGGUUGGUAAGUCAGUGGUGAAAUCUCCAGGCUUAACUUGGAAACUGCCAUUGAUACUAUCAAUCUUGAAUACCGUGGAGGUCAGCGGAAUAUGUCAUGUAGCGGUGAAAUGCUUAGAUAUGACAUAGAACACCAAUUGCGAAGGCAGCUGGCUACACGAAUAUUGACACUGAUGCACGAAAGCGUGGGGAGCAAACAGG
Molecule: ribosomal RNA, 253 nt
Filed under: uncultured bacterium
Lineage: Bacteria
Description: partial 16S ribosomal RNA
Rfam family: Bacterial small subunit ribosomal RNA
Source: RNAcentral